AUUGAACGCUGGCGGCAUGCCUUACACAUACAAGUCGAACGGCAGCACGGGAGCAAUCCUGGUGGCGAGUGGCGAACGGGUGAGUAAAGUAUCGGAACGUGCCCAGUCGUGGGGGAUAACGUAGCGAAAGUUACGCUAAUCCCGCAUACGAUCUAUGGAUGAAAGCGGGGGAUCGCAAGACCUCGCGCGAUUGGAACGGCCGAUAUCAGAUUAGGUAGUUGGUGGGGUAAAGGCUCACCAAGCCGACGAUCUGUAGCUGGUCUGAGAGGACGACCAGCCACACUGGGACUGAGACACGGCCCAGACUCCUACGGGAGGCAGCAGUGGGGAAUUUUGGACAAUGGGCGAAAGCCUGAUCCAGCCAUGCCGCGUGCAGGAUGAAGGCCUUCGGGUUGUAAACUGCUUUUGUACGGAACGAAAAGGUUUGGCCUAAUAAGCUGAGCUCAUGACGGUACCGUAAGAAUAAGCACCGGCUAACUACGUGCCAGCCGCCGCCGUAA
This 500-nucleotide ribosomal RNA is filed under the name uncultured bacterium. RNAcentral describes it as "partial 16S ribosomal RNA". It matches the Rfam family "Bacterial small subunit ribosomal RNA", at positions 30 to 523 of the family's 1533-position model. The record is from RNAcentral.